This is a long non-coding RNA of Neofelis nebulosa (Clouded leopard), 3212 nucleotides long. RefSeq lists it as uncharacterized. The record is from RefSeq and is a predicted model, not a curated record. Lineage: Eukaryota; Metazoa; Chordata; Mammalia; Carnivora; Felidae. The transcript is spliced from 2 exons.
CGAGUCUUUAAAAUCAAGAAGAAAGACGCUGUUUUAGACUGACUGGCUGGGUGUCAGUGAACACGUGCCUGCGCGCACUCCUUCCGAAGGAGCCGGUCAGGCAGCCCAGGGACAGGAAGACACACGCGGGCUCAGAGCUGGCUCUGCAGCAGGCCCCACAGGACUCGGCAGCUCCUCCCAGGACCCUGGUACUUCACCCCCCCGGGGACCUCCCCUAUGCCUGUGACCCAGAAAGGCCAGCAUGAGCAUUUGGCCCUUUGGCACUCGAGGCUGGGAGCCUGAGUCCUUGCUAAAAUAUAAAAUCCACUUGCCCUCCAGCCCAGCCAACUGUCCGCUGAGGAAUGGACUGCUGGCUGGCAGAAGGCAGGACUGGUCCCCAGAUGGAGACGGAAGUAGGAAACUGGCCCCUCGCCUUUGCUCUUCUGGGAGCCGCCUUGGACCCUGGCCUCCCUCCAGCUGCCCCACCUCCCAUGGCCCCCCUCCAGGCCCCAGCCAGACACGGCGACUCACUGGAAACCCCAUUUGGGUUGUGCCCUCCAUUCCUACUUGUCCUUCACGCCCCAGCUCGAAUGCCUCACCCUCAGCGAUAAGUCUCUGGAUCCUCCCCAGGAGGCCACAUCAGUGUUCCUUGAUGCCGUGGCAGACAUGCUUCUGUGGAUGUUGACACCACACAGAACAGAGGUCGGCACAUCCAUCUUUUCAGCCAGAUGACUACUUCCCGUAAAGCCUGUGGGGCAUGCUAAGCCCAGCCCCUGAGAACCAAAACACUGGAGUUUGAGCCCCAGCCUGGCUGCUUAUGAGGCACGUGACUGUGGGCAGAACACAAACUACCGGGUCCUGGUGUCUUUUCUGAAAAACUGUCAGGGACAACCCUUCCUCCAGGAGCUACAGCUACAAUGAACAGAGAAGGCCACGAGUGCACAGCACAACACCUGUGACAUGGGGUAAUGGGAGUAAGAAUCCAUUCCCACCGCAUCCAGGCCCAGGCCCAGGCCUCUACCCUCAAUCAACAAACACAAAGCAUGAAGAAGGCAGGAAACCUCCCUGCAGCCCAGCCCCCCAUCUGGGGAGCACAGGACACGCUAUGAGACAGAAGAAUCCCCACGGCAGGUGGCAGCAGGACCCCCCCAGACUCCUCACCGCUUCUCCUCUGGCUCCAGCCCCCUCUUGGCUGGCUCCUCCUCCCCGAUCUGCUGCUCUCAAGCUUGGGCCUGGGCCUCCUGUUUCCUCUCUCUGUGGCUCAUCGUGUGACCUCAUCCAGUCUCCAGACCCGAGGCUGCAUCUACAUGCUGAAUACCUCUCAGCCUCUGUGUGCCUCGACUCCACUCAGAAACUUGAGAGAGAGCCAGAGACAGAGCACGAGUGGAGGAGGGGCAGAGCGAGAGGGAGACACAGAAUCUGAAGCAGGCUCCAGGCUCUGAGCUGUCAGCACAGAACCCGACAUGGGACUCGAACUCACGGACCGCGAGAUCAUGACCUGAGCCAAAGUCGGAUGUGUAACUGAGCCAGCCAGGUGCCCCUCACAUACCAUAGAUAUUUAAAAAAUCUAUCUCGUUCAUGGUCGCUCCCCCUCACCCCCAACACACACAGCACCAAAUAAAAAUAAGGACAGAGGUUUUGAUCGGUUUUCGUCUUGGCUCUGUCCCCAACAUCUAGUACAGUGUCUGCACAUCACAGCCACUCAAUGAAUUCUCUUCUGGGAAUGUAAGAAUUGGUACAGGGGAGGGGUUCUGAGUCCUGGAAAGCAGGGCUGAAAGCUGGUUUCCCCCCAACUCCCCAGACCAGACCCAGUGCAGACUCCAUAUGUAAAGACCUGCUGGCUGGGGCUCUAUUCUCUCCUGUGCUCAGAGGGAUCCUCCUCUCCCUAGACCACCCCUCGGCCCAGGACGACAGCACAGACCACUCUGCUGGCGAGAGUACUACAAGGGCUGCCGCUGCUGCCCCCUUGCUUCUGAGAGCCUCCCACCCACCAAGCAGGAGGAAGCGUGAGCAGUGAAAGCUUCCUGAGCACUCUGGCUGCACCGGGCCCUGUGCUGAAGACUCCCAUCCGCUGGCACUUAAUCCUCAUGCCAAAGGGGUGAUGUCAUCAAGCCCAGAGAGCCUGCCAGACAGACAUUCAGCCAAUACACACUGGGGUCAGACAGCCCACCUGGGAUGCUCGGCCAAUACCCAGUGGGCAGGGGUCCGACCCCAGGCAGUCUCACCCAGAGCCCUCCACGAAGCACAGCACUGUCCCCCUGAGAAACCUAAGCUUCUGAGAAGGUAGAAGAACUAGAAGCUCAAGUUGACUCCACAAACAGCUGAGGGAAGUGAAAAGUGGACUCUGACACCCUCUGAGGCGGUCCUCACACUUCCCAUGUAUUCUGUAGUUUUUGUCUGCGAGCUCAUCUUCAGCUGUAAUCCUCCUCCUCUGUAUCUGCGGGGCGUUCCAUUGUUACCUCUGCCUGGGAAGUCCCAGCCCGGCGCUCCCGUGUGUGGUGUAUCUCCCCCUGCCCCCGUUGUAUACCUCACAGUUCUACUCCUGUUGUGUCCUUUCUCCUCCUGGCUCAGCCCAAUCCUAUUGGUCCUUCAACUCCUAGCUCACACGUCGCCCGCUGUGACCCUCCCUGACCUCCUACAGAAGGGCCGACGCUGCCAUUGAAGCUCCCUGUAGAAAUCCCUUCCACCCCCCAACUGUCUCUGAUGGAGAAAGGAAGGCCUCAGAACACACAGACACCUGCUAGUGGGUGGGACCUUAUUUACAGGUCAGACAUCUGGGGCAAGGGGCUAGGGAGCCGGAGAGGCUGGGAGAAGCACUGCAUGCUGUCAGUGCAAGACUCUGCUCCUGACCUUGGGUGGAGAGCCUGGCACCUCAGAGCUGGGAAACCCCCUCCUCACAGGGGAGGGGGAAGGAUCACACUAGGACCAUCAGUGAACAAACCUGCAGGGCUCAGAAUGGGGCACAAGGCAUCCUCCUGUGACCAGGGCAGGUAGGAGGGCACCGCUUAGCACAGCCAGCUCCCUCCUCAUAGAAAAUUGGAUUACAGUCCCAGAAGGCGUUUCCAUAUCGGGCCCAACCAGGUCAGCCAGCCAGGCUAGCUGGCCCAGGGCCAGCAUCGCACGUGGGUGCUUCCUUGGGCCCUUGCACACUUCAGGGGGCCCACCUCCUCCCUGAGGGCCACGGAGGGACCCCCAUGCUGAGCCCCUCCAUUAAAGGUGCUCUGAGCAGCUAA